Molecule: long non-coding RNA, 502 nt
Filed under: Homo sapiens (human)
Lineage: Eukaryota; Metazoa; Chordata; Mammalia; Primates; Hominidae
Description: HSALNT0037376
Source: RNAcentral
GUGAAACCCUGUCUCUACUAAAAAUACAAAAUACAAAAAAAAUCAGCCUGGCAUGGUGGCGGGCGCCUGUGGUCCCAGCUACUCUGGAGGCUGACGCAGGAGAAUGCCGUGAACCCGGGAGGCGGAGCUUGCAGAGAGCCGGAGAUCACGCCACUGCACUCCAGCCUGGGCUACAGAGCAAGACUCCGUCUCAAAAAAAACCAAAACAAAACAAAACAAAAAAAACACCCAGUUUUUCCAUGGAGUGAUAGAAUUUAAUUGAUGAGCUUGACGAGCUUAAUUACAGAAGGGAGAGCUCCAAAAUACAUGAGAUUUUCCAUGUCUACUCUGGUGCCAUUACUGGAAGAUCCUUCCAUUUUCUACAAGGGAUUUUUACCUAUAUUGUUGAGAAGUGGAAUCCCCUUUGGUAGCUCUGUACCUUCAGCUUCUCCCUCUGUGGUAUCCAUUCCCUGCCACAACUAUAGAAUCUGCAAUCUGGAAAAAAUGACAUAACCACUAAAAA